UCUUAUGUACAUGCUUACAACAUAAAGUUAAUGCAUCAGAUCCCAUUAGAACUCCAUAGUUAAGCAUGCUCGGGCUAGAGUAGUAUUGGGAUGGGUGAUUGUUUGGGAAGUCCUAUUGUUUUAUAUGCC
Molecule: non-coding RNA, 129 nt
Organism: Picea glauca (white spruce)
Lineage: Eukaryota; Viridiplantae; Streptophyta; Pinopsida; Pinales; Pinaceae
Source: Rfam